This 254-nucleotide ribosomal RNA is filed under the name uncultured bacterium. RNAcentral's name for it is "partial 16S ribosomal RNA". It matches the Rfam family "Bacterial small subunit ribosomal RNA", at positions 524 to 776 of the family's 1533-position model. The record is from RNAcentral.
UACGUAGGGUCCGAGCGUUGUCCGGAAUUAUUGGGCGUAAAGGGCUCGUAGGCGGCCCACUAAGUCCGACGUGAAAUCCCCAGGCUUAACUUGGGAACUGCGUCGGAUACUGGUGGGCUUGAAUCCGGGAGAGGGAUGCGGAAUUCCAGGUGUAGCGGUGAAAUGCGUAGAUAUCUGGAGGAACACCGGUGGCGAAGGCGGCAUCCUGGACCGGCAUUGACGCUGAGUGAGCGAAAGCCAGGGGAGCAAACGGG